This is a non-coding RNA of Pelobates cultripes (western spadefoot toad), 220 nucleotides long. Lineage: Eukaryota; Metazoa; Chordata; Amphibia; Anura; Pelobatidae. The record is from the annotation of a GenBank genome assembly.
GUUAAGAAUAGCAGCAAUACGACGGCUGUCUUCAUUAGCAACUCCAAUUAUGUCAGCUGUCACGAUUCCGUCUUUAAUAGCAAACUUUAUGCCUUUUCCAAACACAGAUGGAAUAGCGGCAAAUCUGGGAUAUUUUGUAUUUCUGUGACAUUUCCCUUCAUUUUGUUUAGGGGCCAUUGGAAGUUGAUCUAAAGAAAUGAAGUUUCGAAGCUGCUUCUUC